This 1207-nucleotide long non-coding RNA is filed under the name Gossypium barbadense (sea-island cotton). Its description in RNAcentral is "long non-coding RNA (GBAR_LNC022730)". The record is from RNAcentral. Lineage: Eukaryota; Viridiplantae; Streptophyta; Magnoliopsida; Malvales; Malvaceae.
GUGGUGGCUAUAUAUUUGGUAAUCAGCAGCAACUACUGCACCAUAAUGGUAAUGGCAGUAACAUCGCUGAAAAAUUGAGACAUCCUGCUUCAUCUUAUGGAAAGAAUCCUACUGCAGCUAGUUUUCUACCUUUGCAAGCCAAACCUUGGGACAAGCAACUUGUUAAUAGUGAUCAGCUACUUAGCAAUCGGAGGGAGGGACAACCAUAUAGUGGAAAUUCUAGACAUAGAUUUGUUAAUGAUUUGUUGGGGGAGCAGACCAUUAUGGAUGGUCCUGAAAUGAAUCCUGUGGAAUUUUUGGCUUCUCAAUUCCCCGGACUUGCUGCCGAAAGCCUUGCUGAAGUUUAUUUUGCCAAUGGUUGUGAUUUAAAUCUGACUAUUGAGAUGCUCACACAACAUGAGGUGAGUGGAGGUCCUUAACUGUUUUUAGUUGAUUUCUAGUGCUUACUUUUUACCCUUUGUUUGAAGAUGUAGUGAUGUGUCAGUUAUUUAGGUCUUGAAGUCUUCUAUUUUCCAUUUCACGAUUGUUGUUAUCAAUUGUUGGAGAGUUGCAGCCACUCUAAGAAAUGGUUUAUGGUCUAGAUCAGGAUGCGGAAGUUUUAAGUUUUUAAUUUUCCUUUAUUUAUACACACUGGAAAUGUUUUUAACACCCCCCCCUACUUAUGCUAUAUUUACGGGAUGUUGGUUUUCUGUUGUGGAUCCCGGGAAUGUUAAUGGUUUGGAUGCAAACCGUGGUUUGACAGAAAAGCUGGCUCCUAAUGAAGUUUUGAGGCGACUCAAUUCACCACAGCAUGUAGCCUCUAGUUCAUAAUAUUAUGAGGCCUGGCAUGGCGAGUAGUUUUUCUUUAUCGGGGUUUCUCCUCGUGGUUUUUGAAGUCAUAUUCUUCUUAGGUUGUUUUUACAUGCUGUGGCUCACAGGUUUCCAGCAUCCUCACAAAGUUUUUAGAAUUUUUGCCUUGUGUUUUCUCCUUUUAAGAUCUUUUAGCAUUUCAUAGAUCAUUUUGAUUUUUAUUGCAGCUUCAAGUUGAUGGUGGUUUCAACCAGAACCCGAAUUCAAAAACCUUGUUGGCUCCCAAUCUAAGUACGCUAGGCUUCCCAGUUACUGUGUCAGAUGAUCAGAGCGGUGCUACAAAAUAUGCAGGGGAUGAUCUUCAACUUAAUGUUGAUCCUUAUCUAUCAUCUGACAAGGACAACAUUCUUAUUUUCAA